RNAcentral lists this ribosomal RNA (459 nucleotides) under uncultured bacterium. RNAcentral's name for it is "partial 16S ribosomal RNA". It matches the Rfam family "Bacterial small subunit ribosomal RNA", at positions 338 to 795 of the family's 1533-position model. The record is from RNAcentral.
CCUACGGGGGGCAGCAGUGAGGAAUAUUGGUCAAUGGUCGGGAGACUGAACCAGCCAAGCCGCGUGAGGGAUGAAGGUACAGAGUAUCGUAAACCUCUUUUGUCAGGGAACAAAGGCGGGGACGUGUCCCCGGAUGAGUGUACCUGAAGAAAAAGCAUCGGCUAACUCCGUGCCAGCAGCCGCGGUAAUACGGAGGAUGCGAGCGUUAUCCGGAUUUAUUGGGUUUAAAGGGUGCGCAGGCGGUCUGUUAAGUCAGCGGUCAAAGCCCGGGGCUCAACCCCGGCCCGCCGUUGAAACUGGCAGUCGCGAGUUGGAGAGAAGUAUGCGGAAUGCGCGGUGUAGCGGUGAAAUGCAUAGAUAUCGCGCAGAACUCCGAUUGCGAAGGCAGCAUGCCGGCUCCACACUGACGCUGAGGCAUGAAAGCGUGGGUAUCGAACAGGAUUAGAUACCCUUGUAGUC